Molecule: ribosomal RNA, 636 nt
Filed under: uncultured bacterium
Lineage: Bacteria
Description: bacterial SSU rRNA
Rfam family: Bacterial small subunit ribosomal RNA
Source: RNAcentral
GCUCAACCGAGGAAGUGCUUCGAAACUGGUAAACUUGAGUGCAGAAGAGGACAGUGGAACUCCAUGUGUAGCGGUGGAAUGCGUAGAUAUAUGGAAGAACACCAGUGGCGAAGGCGGCUUUCUGGUCUGUAACUGACGCUGAGAUUCGAAAGCAUGGGUAGCAAACAGGAUUAGAUACCCUGGUAGUCCAUGCCGUAAACGAUGAAUGCUAAGUGUUGGAGGGUUUCCGCCCUUCAGUGCUGCAGCUAACGCAUUAAGCAUUCCGCCUGGGGAGUACGACCGCAAGGUUGAAACUCAAAGGAAUUGACGGGGGCCCGCACAAGCGGUGGAGCAUGUGGUUUAAUUCGAAGCAACGCGAAGAACCUUACCAGGUCUUGACAUACCAUGAAAAGCUUAGAGAUAAGUCUUUCCCUUCGGGGACAUGGAUACAGGUGGUGCAUGGUUGUCGUCAGCUCGUGUCGUGAGAUGUUGGGUUAAGUCCCGCCACGAGCGCAACCCUUAUUAUCAGUUGCCAGCAUUCAGUUGGGCACUCUGGUGAGACUGCCGGUGACAAACCGGAGGAAGGUGGGGAUGACGUCAAAUCAUCAUGCCCCUUAUGACCUGGGCUACACACGUGCUACAAUGGUCGGUACAACG